AUUGAACGCUGGCGGCAGGCCUAACACAUGCAAGUCGAGCGGAGCGGCGGACGGGUGAGUAAUGCCUAGGAAUAUGCCUGGUGGUGGGGGAUAACGUCCGGAAACGGGCGCUAAUACCGCAUACUAAAAGAUGGGCAUAGGUUGGAUUAGCUAGGUGGUGGGGUAAAGGACUACCAAGGCGACGAUCCGUAACUGGUCUGCGAGGAGGAUCAGUUACACUGGAACUGAGACACGGUCCAGACUCCUACGGGAGGCAGCAGUGGGGAAUAUUGGACAAUGGGCGAAAGCCUGAUCCAGCCAUGCCGCGUGUGUGAAGAAGGUCUUCGGAUUGUAAAGCACUUUAAGUUGGGAGGCGUUACCAACAGAAUAAGCACCGGCUAACUUCGUGCCAGCCGCCGCGGUAAUAC
RNAcentral lists this ribosomal RNA (407 nucleotides) under uncultured bacterium. RNAcentral describes it as "partial 16S ribosomal RNA". It matches the Rfam family "Bacterial small subunit ribosomal RNA", at positions 30 to 526 of the family's 1533-position model. The record is from RNAcentral.